AGGUAAUAAAAAUAAUUUUGAGUCUCAAGCUUCUGGAAUUUUAUAGUAAUAAUAAUAAUUUUAGAAGGAUUUUUAAAAAUUUUUUUUUUUUUUGAGAGAGAAAGGUAGCACGCUAUCUGCUUCAUUCAUUUAGUCAAUAAAUUUGGCUACAUAGAGUGAGACAAUAAGAGGCUCUGACAAAAAAGUAAAUAAAUAAAUAAAUAAGUAAAUAAAAAUUAACUACAAACGUCAAAUCAAAUACUCAAAUAAAACGAAUAUCGCACCGCUCUACAAAACUCAGCCUACUCCUUUGUCAGUAUCCCUAUACGUUACCAUCCGCGUCUAGAGUUUUAAAAAUAAUAUUAUUUUUUUCGCGUCAAAUCGUCCAUCAUGU
This 373-nucleotide long non-coding RNA is filed under the name Ananas comosus (pineapple). RNAcentral's name for it is "long non-coding RNA (ACOM_LNC012829)". Lineage: Eukaryota; Viridiplantae; Streptophyta; Magnoliopsida; Poales; Bromeliaceae. The record is from RNAcentral.